CCCUUAGAGUUUGAUCCUGGCUCAGAAUCAACGCUGGCGGCGUGCCUCAGACAUGCAAGUCGAACGCGAAAGCCUCCUUCGGGGGGCAAGUAGAGUGGCGCACGGGUGAGUAACACGUAGGUAAUCUACCUUUGGAUUGGGAAUAACCACCGGAAACGGUGGCUAAUACCGAAUAAUGCAGCGGCACCUAAUGGUGACAGUUGUUAAAGCGGGGGAUCGAAAGACCUCGCGUCUGAAGAGGAGCCUGCGGCAGAUUAGCUAGUUGGUAAGGUAACGGCUUACCAAGGCGAUGAUCUGUAGCCGGCCUGAGAGGGCGGUCGGCCACACUGACACUGACAUACGGGUCAGACUCCUACGAGAGGCAGCAGUCGGGAAUUUUGGGCAAUGGGCGAAAGCCUGACCCAGCAACGCCGCGUGAAGGAUGAAAUCCUUCGGGAUGUAAACUUCGCAAGAACGGGAAGAAUAAGUAAGGGUUAAUAUCUCUUACGAUGACGGUACUGUUUGUAAGCUCCGGCUAACUCCGUGCCAGCAGCCGCGGUAAUACGGGGGGAGCAAGCGUUGUUCGGAUUUACUGGGCGUAAAGGGCGCGUAGGCGGCCACCGCAAGUCGACUGUGAAAUCUCCGGGCUUAACCCGGAAAGGUCAGCCGAUACUGCGGGGCUAGAGUGCAGAAGGGGCAACUGGAAUUCUCGGUGUAGCGGUGAAAUGCGUAGAUAUCGAGAGGAACACCUGCGGCGAAAGCGGGUUGCUGGGCUGACACUGACGCUGAGCGCGAAAGCUAGGGAGCGAACGGGAUAGAUACCCCGGUAGUCUAGCCUAAACGAUGAAUGCUUGGUGUCUGGGGUUUAUAGUCCCCGGUGCCGUCGCUACGCUUAAGCAUCCGCCUGGGGAGUACGUCGCAGACUGA
Molecule: ribosomal RNA, 906 nt
Filed under: uncultured bacterium
Lineage: Bacteria
Description: bacterial SSU rRNA
Rfam family: Bacterial small subunit ribosomal RNA
Source: RNAcentral